This 64-nucleotide transfer RNA is filed under the name Phlogotettix sp. EMHAU-15090801. RNAcentral describes it as "tRNA-Ser". The record is from RNAcentral. Lineage: Eukaryota; Metazoa; Arthropoda; Insecta; Hemiptera; Cicadellidae.
AGUUAUUUAGCUUAUAUAAAGCAUGUAUUUUGAAAAUAUAAGAAAGAGUCUUGUUUAAUAACUU